RNAcentral lists this signal recognition particle RNA (287 nucleotides) under Chaetura pelagica (chimney swift). RNAcentral's name for it is "Metazoan signal recognition particle RNA". It matches the Rfam family "Metazoan signal recognition particle RNA". From Rfam's summary of the family: The signal recognition particle (SRP) is a universally conserved ribonucleoprotein. It is involved in the co-translational targeting of proteins to membranes. The record is from Rfam by way of RNAcentral. Lineage: Eukaryota; Metazoa; Chordata; Aves; Apodiformes; Apodidae.
GAUCUUGGGUUAAACCUGCAGUCCCAGCUACUUGGGAGUCUGAGCCUGCCAGAUCACCCGAGCCCAGGAGUUCCAGGCUGCAGUGCACAAUGUCAAGCAGGUGUCUGUGCUAAGGUGAGCAUCAGCAUGGUCUGCCCUGAGGAUCUGGGAGAGGAUCUAAGGAGAGGGGAACCAGCCCAGGUUGCAGAUGAAGAAGGUCAAAGCUCAUAUGCCUGUUAGUAGCAGGAUCUCACCUGCGAAUAGACACAGGAGUAUAACCUGGGCAACACAAAGAGGCACAGGCUCCU